This 467-nucleotide ribosomal RNA is filed under the name uncultured bacterium. RNAcentral's name for it is "partial 16S ribosomal RNA". It matches the Rfam family "Bacterial small subunit ribosomal RNA", at positions 28 to 507 of the family's 1533-position model. The record is from RNAcentral.
GACGAACGCUGGCGGCGUGCUUAACACAUGCAAGUCGAACGGAAAGGCCCUGCUUUUGUGGGUGCUCGAGUGGCGAACGGGUGAGUAACACGUGAGUAACCUGCCCUUGACUUUGGGAUAACUUCAGGAAACUGGGGCUAAUACCGGAUAGGAGCUCCUGCUGCAUGGUGGGGGUUGGAAAGUUUCGGCGGUUGGGGAUGGACUCGCGGCUUAUCGGCUUGUUGGUGGGGUAGUGGCUUACCAAGGCUUUGACGGGUAGCCGGCCUGAGAGGGUGACCGGCCACAUUGGGACUGAGAUACGGCCCAGACUCCUACGGGAGGCAGCAGGGGGGAAUAUUGCACAAUGGGCGGAAGCCUGAUGCAGCAACGCCGCGUGCGGGAUGACGGCCUUCGGGUUGUAAACCGCUUUCGCCUGUGACGAAGCGUGAGUGACGGUAAUGGGUAAAGAAGCACCGGCUAACUACGUG